AUUGAACGCUGGCGGCAGGCCUAACACAUGCAAGUCGAGCGCGAAAGGCUUUCGGGCUGAGUAGAGCGGCGGACGGGUGAGUAACGCGUAGGAAUCUACCUGGUAGUGGGGGACAACUUGGGGAAACUCAAGCUAAUACCGCAUACGACCUAAGGGUGAAAGUGGGGGACCUUCGGGCCUCACGCUAUCGGAUGAGCCUGCGUAGGAUUAGCUUGUUGGUGAGGUAAAAGCUCACCAAGGCGACGAUCCUUAGCUGGUCUGAGAGGAUGAUCAGCCACACUGGAACUGAGACACGGUCCAGACUCCUACGGGAGGCAGCAGUGGGGGAAUAUUGCGCAAUGGGCGAAAGCCUGACGCAGCCAUGCCGCGUGUGUGAAGAAGGCCUC
RNAcentral lists this ribosomal RNA (386 nucleotides) under uncultured bacterium. RNAcentral describes it as "bacterial SSU rRNA". It matches the Rfam family "Bacterial small subunit ribosomal RNA", at positions 30 to 418 of the family's 1533-position model. The record is from RNAcentral.